Molecule: ribosomal RNA, 405 nt
Filed under: uncultured bacterium
Lineage: Bacteria
Description: partial 16S ribosomal RNA
Rfam family: Bacterial small subunit ribosomal RNA
Source: RNAcentral
AUUGAACGCUGGCGGCAGGCUUAACACAUGCAAGUCGAACGAGUGGCGGACGGGUGAGUAAUGUUUGGGAAACUAGCUUCUGGAGGGGGAUAACUCCGGGAACCGGUAGCUAAUACAGCGUACCAUCGGAUGAGCCCAAGUGGGAUUAGGUAGUUUGUGAGGUAAAGGCUCACCAGGCCGACGAUCUCUAGCGGGUCUGAGAGGAUGACCAGCCACACUGGGACUGAGACACGGCCCAGACUCCUACGGGAGGCAGCAGGGGGGAAUAUUGCGCAAUGGGGGAAAGCUGACGGAGCCAUGCCGCGUGAAUGAAGAAGGCCUUCGGGUUGUAAAGUUCUUUCGGUAGCGAUGCGUUACCUACAGAAGAAGCACCGGCUAACUCCGUGCCAGCAGCCGCGGUAAUAC